RNAcentral lists this transfer RNA (58 nucleotides) under Lasioglossum pauxillum. RNAcentral describes it as "tRNA-Glu". The record is from RNAcentral. Lineage: Eukaryota; Metazoa; Arthropoda; Insecta; Hymenoptera; Halictidae.
AUUUAUAUAGUUUAAAAAAAACAUUAUAUUUUCAAUAUAAAAUUAAUAAUUAUAAAUU